This 467-nucleotide ribosomal RNA is filed under the name uncultured bacterium. Its description in RNAcentral is "partial 16S ribosomal RNA". It matches the Rfam family "Bacterial small subunit ribosomal RNA", at positions 28 to 507 of the family's 1533-position model. The record is from RNAcentral.
GAUGAACGCUGGCGGCGUGCUUAACACAUGCAAGUCGAACGGAAAGGCUCCUGCUUGCCGGGGUACUCGAGUGGCGAACGGGUGAGUAACACGUGGGUGAUCUGCCCUGCACUUCGGGAUAAGCCUGGGAAACUGGGUCUAAUACCGGAUAGGACCACAUUUUGGAUGGUGUGGUGGAAAGUUUUUCGGUGUGGGAUGAGCUCGCGGCCUAUCAGCUUGUUGGUGGGGUAAUGGCCUACCAAGGCGUCGACGGGUAGCCGGCCUGAGAGGGUGUACGGCCACAUUGGGACUGAGAUACGGCCCAGACUCCUACGGGAGGUAGCAGUGGGGAAUAUUGCACAAUGGGCGCAAGCCUGAUGCAGCGACGCCGCGUGGGGGAUGACGGCCUUCGGGUUGUAAACUCCUUUCGCUAGGGACGAAGCGUUUUUGUGACGGUACCUGGAGAAGAAGCACCGGCUAACUACGUG